AUACGGAGGGUGCAAGCGUUAAUCGGAAUUACUGGGCGUAAAGCGUACGUAGGCGGUUCGUUAAGUUAGAUGGGAAAGCCCCGGGCUUAACCUGGGAACUGCAUUUAAAACUGGCGAACUAGAGUUGAGUAGAGGGGAGUGGAAUUUCAGGUGUAGCGGUGAAAUGCGUAGAGAUCUGAAGGAACACCAGUGGCGAAGGCGGCUCCCUGGACUCGAACUGACGCUGAGGUACGAAAGCGUGGGUAGCAAACGGGAUUAGAAACCCUUGUAGUCC
RNAcentral lists this ribosomal RNA (274 nucleotides) under uncultured bacterium. Its description in RNAcentral is "partial 16S ribosomal RNA". It matches the Rfam family "Bacterial small subunit ribosomal RNA", at positions 523 to 796 of the family's 1533-position model. The record is from RNAcentral.